Molecule: ribosomal RNA, 200 nt
Filed under: Staphylococcus aureus
Lineage: Bacteria; Bacillati; Bacillota; Bacilli; Caryophanales; Staphylococcaceae
Description: partial 16S ribosomal RNA
Rfam family: Bacterial small subunit ribosomal RNA
Source: RNAcentral
UUUAUGGAGAGUUUGAUCCUGGCUCAGGAUGAACGCUGGCGGCGUGCCUAAUACAUGCAAGUCGAGCGAACGGACGAGAAGCUUGCUUCUCUGAUGUUAGCGGCGGACGGGUGAGUAACACGUGGAUAACCUACCUAUAAGACUGGGAUAACUUCGGGAAACCGGAGCUAAUACCGGAUAAUAUUUUAAACCGCAUGGUU